UACGAAGGGGGCUAGCGUUGUUCGGAUUUACUGGGCGUAAAGCGCACGUAGGCGGAUCGUUAAGUCGGGGGUGAAAUCCUGGAGCUCAACUCCAGAACUGCCUUCGAUACUGGCGAUCUUGAGUCCGGAAGAGGCGAGUGGAAUUCCUGGUGUAGCGGUGAAAUGCGCAGAUAUCAGGAGGAACACCGAUGGCGAAGGCAGCUCGCUGGGACGGUACUGACGCUGAGGCGCGAAAGCGUGGGGAGCAAACAGG
Molecule: ribosomal RNA, 253 nt
Filed under: uncultured bacterium
Lineage: Bacteria
Description: partial 16S ribosomal RNA
Rfam family: Bacterial small subunit ribosomal RNA
Source: RNAcentral